Molecule: non-coding RNA, 69 nt
Organism: Rattus norvegicus (Norway rat)
Lineage: Eukaryota; Metazoa; Chordata; Mammalia; Rodentia; Muridae
Source: Rfam
GGAGAUUUAGCUCAGCAGUAGAGCACUUGCCUAGCAAGCACAAGGCCCUGGGUUCGGUCCCCAGCUCCA